RNAcentral lists this ribosomal RNA (301 nucleotides) under uncultured bacterium. RNAcentral describes it as "partial 16S ribosomal RNA". It matches the Rfam family "Bacterial small subunit ribosomal RNA", at positions 509 to 809 of the family's 1533-position model. The record is from RNAcentral.
CAGCAGCCGCGGGAAUGCGAAGGGUGCAAGCGUUACUCGGAAUUACUGGGCGUAAAGCGUGCGUAGGUGGUGGUUUAAGUCCGUUGUGAAAGCCCUGGGCUCAACCUGGGAAUUGCAGUGGAUACUGGGUCACUAGAGUGUGGUAGAGGAUAGUGGAAUUUCCGGUGUAGCAGUGAAAUGCGUAGAGAUCGGAAGGAACAUCUGUGGCGAAGGCGACUAUCUGGGCCAACACUGACACUGAGGCACGAAAGCGUGGGGAGCAAACAGGAUUAGAUACCCGAGUAGUCCCUGUCUCUUAUAA